RNAcentral lists this ribosomal RNA (497 nucleotides) under uncultured bacterium. RNAcentral describes it as "partial 16S ribosomal RNA". It matches the Rfam family "Bacterial small subunit ribosomal RNA", at positions 28 to 507 of the family's 1533-position model. The record is from RNAcentral.
GAUGAACGCUGGCGGCGUGCCUAAUACAUGCAAGUCGAGCGAACAGACGAGGAGCUUGCUCCUCUGACGUUAGCGGCGGACGGGUGAGUAACACGUGGAUAACCUACCUAUAAGACUGGGAUAACUUCGGGAAACCGGAGCUAAUACCGGAUAAUAUAUUGAACCGCAUGGUUCAAUAGUGAAAGACGGUUUUGCUGUCACUUAUAGAUGGAUCCGCGCCGCAUUAGCUAGUUGGUAAGGUAACGGCUUACCAAGGCAACGAUGCGUAGCCGACCUGAGAGGGGGAGCGGCCACACUGGACCUGAGACACGGUCCAGAAUCCUACGGGAGGAAGCAGUAGGGAAUCUUCCGCAAUGGGCGAAAGCCUGACGGAGCAACGCCGCGUGAGUGAUGAAGGUCUUCGGAUCGUAAAACUCUGUUAUUAGGGAAGAACAAAUGUGUAAGUAACUAUGCACGUCUUGACGGUACCUAAUCAGAAAGCCACGGCUAACUACGUG